GAUGAAGAACGCAGCAAAAUGCGAUAAGUAAUGUGAAUUGCAGAAUUCAGUGAAUCAUCGAAUCUUUGAACGCACAUUGCGCCCGCCAGUAUUCUGGCGGGCAUGCCUGUUCGAGCGUCAUUUCAACCCUCAAGCUCAGCUUGGUGUUGGGACUCGCGGUAACCCGCGUUCCCCAAAUCGAUUGGCGGUCACGUCGAGCUUCCAUAGCGUAGUAAUCAUACACCUCGUUACUGGUAAUCGUCGCGGCCACGCCGUAAAACCCCAACUUCUGAAUGUUGACCUCGGAUCAGGUAGGAAUACCCGCUGAACUUAAGCAUAUCAAUAAGCGGAGA
This 332-nucleotide unclassified non-coding RNA is filed under the name soil metagenome. RNAcentral's name for it is "partial contains 5.8S ribosomal RNA, internal transcribed spacer 2, and large subunit ribosomal RNA". The stretch from base 1 to 120 matches the Rfam family "5.8S ribosomal RNA", at positions 35 to 154 of the family's 154-position model. The record is from RNAcentral.